Molecule: ribosomal RNA, 547 nt
Filed under: uncultured bacterium
Lineage: Bacteria
Description: bacterial SSU rRNA
Rfam family: Bacterial small subunit ribosomal RNA
Source: RNAcentral
UGGGGAAUAUUGCGCAAUGGGGGGAACCCUGACGCAGCCAUGCCGCGUGAAUGAAGAAGGCCUUUGGGUUGUAAAGUUCUUUCGGUAUUGAGGAAGGUUGAUGUGUUAAUAGCACAUCAAAUUGACGUUAAAUACAGAAGAAGCACCGGCUAACUCCGUGCCAGCAGCCGCGGUAAUACGGAGGGUGCGAGCGUUAAUCGGAAUAACUGGGCGUAAAGGGCACGCAGGCGGUUAUUUAAGUGAGGUGUGAAAGCCCUGGGCUUAACCUAGGAAUUGCAUUUCAGACUGGGUAACUAGAGUACUUUAGGGAGGGGUAGAAUUCCACGUGUAGCGGUGAAAUGCGUAGAGAUGUGGAGGAAUACCGAAGGCGAAGGCAGCCCCUUGGGAAUGUACUGACGCUCAUGUGCGAAAGCGUGGGGAGCAAACAGGAUUAGAUACCCUGGUAGUCCACGCUGUAAACGCUGUCGAUUUGGGGAUUGGGCUUGGAGCUUGGUGCCCGUAGCUAACGUGAUAAAUCGACCGCCUGGGGAGUACGGCCGCAAGGUUA